This 252-nucleotide ribosomal RNA is filed under the name uncultured Bacteroidales bacterium. RNAcentral's name for it is "partial 16S ribosomal RNA". It matches the Rfam family "Bacterial small subunit ribosomal RNA", at positions 524 to 776 of the family's 1533-position model. Lineage: Bacteria; Pseudomonadati; Bacteroidota; Bacteroidia; Bacteroidales. The record is from RNAcentral.
UACGGAGGAUGCGAGCGUUAUCCGGAUUUACUGGGUGUAAAGGGAGCGUAGGCGGCGAUGCAAGUCAGUGGUCAAAUUGCGGGGCUCAACCCCGUACUGCCGUUGAAACUGCAUCCCUUGAGUGCGCGAGAAGUAUGCGGAAUGCGUGGUGUAGCGGUGAAAUGCAUAGAUAUCACGCAGAACUCCGAUUGCGAAGGCAGCUUACCGGCGCUCAACUGACGCUGAGGCACGAAAGUGCGGGUAUCGAACAGG